AUUGAACGCUGGCGGCAUGCCUUACACAUGCAAGUCGAACGGUAACAGGUUAAGCUGACGAGUGGCGAACGGGUGAGUAAUGUAUCGGAACGUGCCCAGUCGUGGGGGAUAACUGCUCAAAAGAGCAGCUAAUACCGCAUACGACCUGAGGGUGAAAGCGGGGGAUCGCAAGACCUCGCGCGAUUGGAGCGGCCGAUAUCAGAUUAGGUAGUUGGUGAGGUAAAGGCUCACCAAGCCGACGAUCUGUAGCUGGUCUGAGAGGACGACCAGCCACACUGGGACUGAGACACGGCCCAGACUCCUACGGGAGGCAGCAGUGGGGAAUUUUGGACAAUGGGCGCAAGCCUGAUCCAGCCAUGCCGCGUGCGGGAAGAAGGCCUUCGGGUUGUAAACCGCUUUUGUCAGGGAAGAAAAGGUUCUGGCUAAUACCUGGGACUCAUGACGGCACCUGAAGAAUAAGCACCGGCUAACUACGUG
Molecule: ribosomal RNA, 477 nt
Filed under: uncultured bacterium
Lineage: Bacteria
Description: partial 16S ribosomal RNA
Rfam family: Bacterial small subunit ribosomal RNA
Source: RNAcentral